ACCCCCUUAGUAUAAUUAAUAUAACUGACUUCCAAUCAGUAGAAUCUGACAAGACUCAGAAGGGAGUA
This 68-nucleotide transfer RNA is filed under the name Chiropodomys gliroides (Indomalayan pencil-tailed tree mouse). Its description in RNAcentral is "tRNA-Gly". Lineage: Eukaryota; Metazoa; Chordata; Mammalia; Rodentia; Muridae. The record is from RNAcentral.